Molecule: transfer RNA, 155 nt
Filed under: Candidatus Methanohalarchaeum thermophilum
Lineage: Archaea; Methanobacteriati; Methanobacteriota; Methanonatronarchaeia; Methanonatronarchaeales; Methanonatronarchaeaceae
Rfam family: Small nucleolar RNA sR3 (bases 39-112)
Source: Rfam by way of RNAcentral
GGGGCCGUGGCCUAGUCAGGAGGGGCGACGGGCUCCAGCGGUAUGAUGAGCAACGGGUCUACUGACCCUGACCUGACGAGGUCAGGAAUGAUGAUCCGUUGGAGCACUGACCUGAAGAGACCCGUCAAUCGAGGGUUCAAAUCCCUUCGGCCCCA